AUGAGUCAGCCUGCUCAGGGUUCUGCUCCCUGGUCUCAGGGGCCCUCCCUGCAGGUUUCUGGAGGGUUCAGUAGGAAACAGACAAGGACUGCAGGAGAAUCUGUCGACCGUGGUUCUCCCGCUGACCCAGGUCCUUCCCUCAGCCGGGAACACUCUCUGGUGCCUGAUUGCGGACAGUGUCCAGAGCCUAUGGCCACGAUGCUCCUGCCUGCGGUGCCCAGCGCGCAGGUGCGGGCGCCUGAGCCUCUCUGUCCUCUGCUCGCAUCUCCGUCUGGGGUGGUCUUCCUAACGCCCUGUGCUCCUCUGGGAACAGCCACUCUCCCCGCGUGUCCCAUUUACCUACCCCCUCAACCCUACCCAUGCGUCUAUGUGGUUCAACACGGAAUCCCCAGUGGCCAGCACAGGGUAAGGUUUAGAGAGAUUCAGUGGCUUGCUUCCCUGUCGAGGUCAGCACCCAAGCCCAGCUGGCCGGCAGAACAUCCCCUGACCCUUGAGCCUUGGCUGUUGGGUCCCCAGGUGCCCCACCUUUAGCCCCAGGCUCUUUCCCUGGCAGUUUACACCCCUUGCUUCUUCAUGUAUUUCGCUGUGUCAGGUCUUAGUUUUGGCAUUGGAGGUCUUUAGUUGCUGCUUAUGGGAUCUUAGUUCCCUGACAGGGGAUCGAACCUGGCCCCCUGUAUUGGGAUUGGGAGUAUGGAGUCUUAGCCACUGGACCACCAGGGAAGUCCCUCAGCUUCUUUUCUUUUUCUUUCAAAUUAUCCCACUAGUUCAGUUCAGUAGCUCAGUCAUGUCCGACUCUUUUCGAUCCCAUGGACUGCAGCAUUCCAGGCCUCCCUGUCCAUCGCCAACUCCCAGAGUUUACUCAAACUCAU
RNAcentral lists this long non-coding RNA (869 nucleotides) under Capra hircus (goat). RNAcentral describes it as "lncRNA (ENSCHIG00010031001.1)". Lineage: Eukaryota; Metazoa; Chordata; Mammalia; Artiodactyla; Bovidae. The record is from RNAcentral.